This 1069-nucleotide ribosomal RNA is filed under the name Potamothrix bedoti. RNAcentral's name for it is "eukaryotic LSU rRNA". The stretch from base 491 to 643 matches the Rfam family "5.8S ribosomal RNA". The record is from RNAcentral. Lineage: Eukaryota; Metazoa; Annelida; Clitellata; Tubificida; Naididae.
UUUCCGUAGGUGAACCUGCGGAAGGAUCAUUACCGUGCCCAAUGCGCUUUCGACGUAUAGUCGGCUGCGUACGUGUAGGACAAACCACAGAGCAGAAGCCCACGGUCGUAUACGGCUGCGGCGGCCUUUGACUAUGAGGCUCGUCGUCGUCCGUCGUCAACGACCAAGGACCGCUGGCCGCCGGGCCUGAGAAACCCGGCGGUGCCCGCGGGCGGUCCAAAACUAUGCAUACUUGUUGAAACUUCGGGGUACCUGUCGCGCGUUCGGCAUUGACCGUAAUUGUCGAAUGCGCGGUGAGCUGGCUGGUGGCUUCGGCCGCCGGCUUGGCGAAGGUUUAAAGAGCGCCCUAUGGUCGCCCCGAAGCCAUGUUUUUUGUUGUCUAUGUACGGUUGCUAUUCCGACGCCUGCUGGCCGACGGAGACCGCCCACGUCGUCUUGGGUGGACAAAGUUGGCCGGUACGGCGCUGCCCAAACUGGUAACAAGUGAUACAACUCUAAGCGGUGGAUCACUCGGCUCGUGUGUCGAUGAAGAGCGCAGCCAGCUGCGUGAAGUAAUGUGAAUUGCAGGACACAUUGAACAUCGACAUCUUGAACGCACAUUGCGGCCUCGGGCAUUCCCGAGGCCACGCCUGUCUCAGGGUCGGUUGAACUUAUCAAUCGUCGGUUGACCGUAUUUGCCGACGCAUUGGAUCGUCGCGGCUCGCGCUGACCGUAAAGGCGCGAUCGGCAUUGACCGUAUUUGUCGAUCGCGCUGCGCAGCCACGUCGUCCGAAGUACAGACGGGUCCAAAGCUUUGCCGACCGCAUGUCCUAAGUCCGCCUGUCGGACGGGGACGGCGACUCGGACCGUAAAGAGAAGCCGUUGCCUGUUCAUUGGCGGUACGGUUGGCGAAGCUGAGGAACCACGAAGCGGAAAAUGCGAGCGUCCAACGUCGUAUUCGGAACGGCGACGGGCGGCGGCCUCUUGACGUUGAGGUCCGUCGCGCGUCGCGCAUCCGUUGUCGACUGCGCGAUUGCAAGCGUUAAUCUUCUUCGACCUGAGAUCAGACGAGAUUACCCGCUGAAUUUAA